GGCAGGAUCCGCAGAGCACAGCUGCAGCCACUGUGCUAAAGCGGGCGGUACAACUAGAUUCGGAGUCGCGGUAUCCGCAGGCUCUGGUGUGUUACCAAGAGGGGAUUGAUCUGCUUCUGCAGGUUCUGAAAGGUACCAAAGAUAAUACUAAGAGAUGUAAUCUCAGAGAAAAAAUUUCCAAAUACAUGGACAGAGCGGAAAACAUAAAGAAGUACUUGGACCAAGAAAAAGAAGGUAAAGAGGUUGUUUUAGAAAACGCAUCCAUAAACAACUGUGACCGUCCAUUCACCCAAUGUUUCUGGCUCCUGCCCUUUGGAGCUCUGUGUGGUCUGGACCAGUUGUCCCUGGGAGCUUACAGGAUUUAAUCUGUAUUUCCACUCCCAUACAGGAGUUGUUCUUAAUUUUUUUGUUUGUUUGUUUUGGUUUUUGUUUUUAGUUCGGGGUGGGAAUGUCAGACACCCCUUUGAACAUCUGAUGAAAGCUAUACAUACUGGAGAAUGUUACAUGCCAUUUUUAAGGGGUUCACAAAUCCCUAUGAAGCUUAUGUGUGGACCCUACGUUAAGAAAUACUACAGAGGAAUACUGAAUGUAAAUUGUGUAUUUUAUUUAUAUUUCGCUUUAUGAAAUGACCAAAAUCAUGAAAGAAGCUAAAGAAACUCCUGGGCUUUCUCUCAGAUUUUGUUGUGAAUCAAAACACCUCAGGAGUUAAGCAUUCCUAAUGAUUAGAGGUCAGGUAGGUAUUGUUCCCUAUUAUUAGUUCCCUACUCCUAAGCACCCAGUUUACAAAUGUCUGUAAAUGGCCAUUUCCACCCUUACCUGAGUGCAUACUUGCUGCUUGCUAUAGCCAAAGGUACUGCUGCCCUCAAAAGCCAGUGCCCCCAGGCCCCAGCUUUUCCUCCUCUCUAUACUUUCUACACCCCUUUCCCCAUCUCUUCCUACUGUUCUGUAUCAGUACAUACCCUGGGGACCCCCACUGAGCUCCUUUGUUCAGUGGGAAUAAAGUUGUGUUUCCUUAGCCCCGAUUUGAAAUUUAGAAUGAAAUUUUACUCCAAAACAUUGAUGAAAUAUAGUACCUUCAGCAUUGUGGUUUUGAGUACAUGGAAUUAAAUUUUUAACCUCUAUGUGGCUAUCUUGGCUUAAAAAAUAAGGCAUAGUUGCCAACAUUAUCUAUGUGGAAAUAUUUGGAACAGAAUCCAAACUACUGAUUUUUAAACAAAGUGUAAAGUAUAAUUUAGGGGCUACCAUUAGGGUUUUUUUUUUUUUUUUUUUUUUUUUUUUUUAGACAGAGUCUCGCUUUGCUACCCAGGCUGGAGUGCAGUGGCGUGAUCUCGGCUUACUGCAACCUCUGCCUCCUGGGUUCAAGCAAUUCUUCUGUCUCAGCCUCCCGAGUAGCUGGGACCACAGGCACCCGACACCAAGCCUGGCUCAUUUUUUUAUUUUUAGUAGAGUUGAGGUUUUGCCAUAUUGGUCAGGCUGGUCUCUAACUCCUGACCUCAGGUGAUCCUCCCGCCUCAGCCUCCCAAAGUGCUGGGAUUACAAGUGUGAGCCACCACGCCCAGCCAGGGGUCAUAAUUUUUUAAAACCUUAAAGGUUUCUGAUAAUUUUUUCAAUGCUCAUUUUGAAUUAACAAAAGCAAUAGAUCUAUCCUAUUGAUCCUGUGACAUCCCAGUCUUUAGCUUGAGUUAUUAAGAAGUACUAAAAAUUUGUUUAAAACUCUACACGUGCCAAGAAAGACUUUGAAGCUUCAUAUUAUACUGCAUUAAUGUUUUUUCUUUCUCUUUUUUUUUUUUUUUUUUUUUGAGGUAGAGUCUUGCUCUGUUGCCCAGGCUGGAGUGUGGUGGCGUGAUCUCAGCUCACUGCAACAUCCACCUGGGUUAAGUGAUUCUCCUGCCUCAGCCCCCCAGGUAGUUGGGACUACAGGCGCCUGACAUCACGCCUGGCUACUUUUUAUAUUUUUAGUAGAGCUGGGGUUUCACCAUGUUGGCCAGGCUGGUCUCGAACUCCUGACCUCAAAUGAUCUACCUACCUUGGCCUCCCAAAAUGCUGGGAUUACAGGCGUGAGCUACCGCGCCCUGCCCUGCAUUCAUGUUUAAUACUCACUUUAGUUAUUAGAUUGCAAGACAUAAAAAGACAAGUCUGAAGAGAAGGACCAGAUAGCCACUGAGUUUUAGUAUGUGGUGCUACCCAUGGUGACAGGAAGUUAUUGGAUACCUUUAUAUAUACACUACUCCCUUCAACAAACUGCCUGGUCUAUAGGAUCUGGCUCAAGGACCUGUUCCAGGAAACCUCUAGAUUUUCCCCCUUGCCUAGCCUCUGUGAAGGCAGAAAUCACUUAAUGGAGUGGUUUGCCUUAAAUACCUUUGUACAUGUAACAUCCUGCAAUGUAUAUGAUAUUUAGUAGGCAUUCAAUAAGUAUUUGCUGAAUAAGUUAAAAAAAUUAAUAUGUAUCUGAUGCUGAUUAAUCACUCUAUAUAAAAUAUAAAAUGUGUAAAAAAAAUGCUCACUGGUUUUACUGUUGAAGCCUGUGUUUUAUAGAUGGAAAAUAUCACAAGCAAAUUAAAAUAGAAGAGAAUGCAACAGGUUUCAGUUAUGAGUCACUUUUUCGCGAAUACCUUCAUGAGACAGUUACAGAAGUUUGGAUAGAAGAUCCUUAUAUUAGACAUACUCAUCAGGUAUGUGAACAUACUAAAAUAUAAUGAAAUAUCAUAUUGAAUGUACUAAAUUAGUAAUAAUCCAUUCUAAUGUCUUUUAGCUGUAUAACUUUCUUCGAUUUUGUGAGAUGCUUAUUAAGAGACCGUGUAAAGUAAAAACUAUUCACCUUCUCACCUCUCUGGAUGAAGGCAUUGAGCAAGCGCAGCAAAGUAGAGGCCUGCAAGAAAUAGAAGAGUCACUCAGGAGUCACGGAGUGCUGUUGGAAGUUCAAUACUCUUCUUCAAUACAUGACCGAGAAAUUAGGUUCAACAAUGGAUGGAUGAUUAAGAUUGGAAGGGGACUUGAUUAUUUUAAGAAACCACAGGUAGGAUAUAAUCUUAUGAGUAAAUGUGUAGCACUGUUUUUGUAUCAUUUUUAAUGAUACUCUUUUCUUCUCUUCUUAGAGUCGUUUUUCCCUUGGAUAUUGUGAUUUUGAUUUAAGACCAUGUCAUGAAACAACAGUGGACAUUUUUCAUAAGAAGCAUACAAAAAAUAUAUGAUGGGCAGUAGCCUAAUUUGUAUUAUGUCUACUUUAACUGAAUAUUGGAUUUUUUUAAAAGAUCACUUUUAUAAUGUAUGAAUUUAACAAUAAACUUUUAUAUUUCUACUAA
RNAcentral lists this small RNA (3302 nucleotides) under Pongo abelii (Sumatran orangutan). RNAcentral describes it as "retained intron". The record is from RNAcentral. Lineage: Eukaryota; Metazoa; Chordata; Mammalia; Primates; Hominidae.